AACAGAGUUGCAACAGGCAAACUAUAUUGAACAAACCAUAGAGAUUACAGCCUCCUAAAAUUUUCAUGGAGGAACUUCUCUAUAUUAUCUUUACCCAAACCAAGUUGCCCAUCUAUGAUCUUCCUAGAUUGGUACACUGGCAAUGUUCUUUGUGUCACUGUCCAGGGCAGCUGGCUCCUUCAUAUAUCACUCCACGGGAUCAGAUUCCUUACACUUUUAAAAGCGACUCGAUUUUAGUUGGACCGUGGCCAGGCCUAGAAGCAGCCAUGCUCCAAAAACCAAACUUUGUCUUCUUAUCAACAGGUUUCAAUAUUUGGAAUGAACACAAUAAAUUCUCAUCCACACUCAUCAUGGCACCAGCGUUGUCAAAUUCUCCACAAUAAUUAGGAGCUGAAAAUAUUGUUACAAGUCGUCUAUUUGCAAAAAACUCAUAUCCAUUUUCCACAACCUGAUGGGCUCGACAUAUCAAAUCAAGAUCAUGCUUCUGCAGAAACUCUAUCACUCUAUCAGCACCAAAUGUAUAUGAAACACCCCUUUCAUUUAUCCCCCAACCUUGAAUGUCUUGACUAGGAUCGGACCAGAGGAGAUCACAUAACAAACCAGACUCUGGAACAACAGUUGGUCGUUGUAUAUUUCUUAUCUGAUCCAAAUUGCACAGUUCAGGAGAAAGUCCACCAUGCAUACAGAGAAUCUUUUCAUCAAUGAGAGCUGCCACAGGCAAGCAGUUGAAACAAUCUGUAAAUAUUUUCCAGAGUCUGACAUUAAAUCUUCUUUUGCACUCAUCAUAAAAUCCAUAUAUACG
This 802-nucleotide unclassified non-coding RNA is filed under the name Hevea brasiliensis (rubber tree). The record is from RNAcentral. Lineage: Eukaryota; Viridiplantae; Streptophyta; Magnoliopsida; Malpighiales; Euphorbiaceae.